RNAcentral lists this ribosomal RNA (497 nucleotides) under uncultured bacterium. Its description in RNAcentral is "partial 16S ribosomal RNA". It matches the Rfam family "Bacterial small subunit ribosomal RNA", at positions 28 to 507 of the family's 1533-position model. The record is from RNAcentral.
GAUGAACGCUGGCGGCGUGCCUAAUACAUGCAAGUCGAGCGAACAGAUGAGGAGCUUGCUCCUCUGACGUUAGCGGCGGACGGGUGAGUAACACGUGGAUAACCUACCUAUAAGACUGGGAUAACUUCGGGAAACCGGAGCUAAUACCGGAUAAUAUAUUGAACCGCAUGGUUCAAUAGUGAAAGACGGUUUUGCUGUCACUUAUAGAUGGAUCCGCGCCGCAUUAGCUAGUUGGUGAGGUAACGGCUUACCAAGGCAACGAUUCGUAGCCGACCUGAGAGAGGGAUAGGCCACACUGGAACUGUAACACGGUCUAGAGUCCUACGGGAGGCAGCAGAAGGGAAUCUGCCGCAAUGGGCGAAAGCAUGACGGAGCGACGCCGCGUGAGUGAUGAUGGUCUUCGGAGCGUAAAACUCUGUUAUUAGGGGAGAACAAAGGUGUAAGUAAAUGUGCACGUCUUUACGUUACCUAAUCAGAAAGCCACGGCUAACUACGUG